UUUUUAUUUAUUUCUUAUGUUGUUUUUUGUAAAAUGUUUUAAUUUAUUUUUGUUUAAUUUGAAAUAUCAAAAAUUUGAUUUUUGAACUGGAUUAGUACCCAGGUAAUCAAAAUUUAUUAAUUCGGGAGUAAAGUUUUGUUUAAACCGAAAAAAUAUUGACUGACCUUGGAUUUUUCUUUGGAACAUGUGUUUUGUUGGAGAGCCCUCUUUUUUGGCGAAUUUUAUUGGCACAUGUAUGAUUGUUUAGUUUUUAUUUAUUUUUGUAAUGCUUUUUUGUUUUGGCAUUAAAAACAGAUAUAUAUUUGGCUUAUAAAUUCGUUUUUCAUGUGUUACUAUUAUAAAUUUUUUUUGGAUAAAUUUUUUAUUUUUUUUUGAAAUUGGAAAAGAAAGUAAUUUUCUCUUGAUGUUUUGAUGAAUUU
This 419-nucleotide ribosomal RNA is filed under the name Onchocerca boehmi. Its description in RNAcentral is "partial 12S ribosomal RNA". Lineage: Eukaryota; Metazoa; Nematoda; Chromadorea; Rhabditida; Onchocercidae. The record is from RNAcentral.